GAUAAACGCUGGCGGCGUGCAUGAGACAUGCAAGUCGAACGAAGGAUCGGGCUUGCUCGAUCCUUAGUGGCGGACGGCUGAGUAACGCGUAGGUGACCUACCCCGAAGUGGGGAAUAACUGCCCGAAAGGGUGGCUAAUACCGCAUGUGGUCGCACGUUCAUUCGUGCGAGUAAAGCCGCAAGGCGCUUCGGGAGGGGCCUGCGUCCGUUUAGCUCGUUGGUGGGGUAAUGGCUUACCAAGGCGACGAUCGGUAGGUGGUCUGAGAGGACGAUCACCCAGACUGGGACUGAGACACGGCCCAGACUCCUACGGGAGGCAGCAGUCGGGAAUUUUGCUCAAUGGGGGAAACCCUGAAGCAGCAACGCCGCGUGAGGGAUGAAGGCCUUCGGGUUGUAAACCUCUUUUGUCAGGGACGAUGAUGACGGUACCUGGCGAAUAAGCCACGGCUAACUACGUG
RNAcentral lists this ribosomal RNA (458 nucleotides) under uncultured bacterium. RNAcentral's name for it is "partial 16S ribosomal RNA". It matches the Rfam family "Bacterial small subunit ribosomal RNA", at positions 28 to 507 of the family's 1533-position model. The record is from RNAcentral.